GCUCAGGAUGAACGCUAGCUACAGGCUUAACACAUGCAAGUCGAGGGGUAGCAGGGUAGCAAUACCGCUGACGACCGGCGCACGGGUGAGUAACACGUAUCCAACCUUCCCAUAACUCGGGGAUAGCCUUUCGAAAGAAAGAUUAAUACCCGAUAGUACUUUAUUAAGGCAUCUUAAGAAAGUUAAAGAUUUAUUGGUUAUGGAUGGGGAUGCGUUCCAUUAGAUAGUUGGUGAGGUAACGGCUCACCAAGUCUUCGAUGGAUAGGGGUUCUGAGAGGAAGGUCCCCCACAUUGGUACUGAGACACGGACCAAACUCCUACGGGAGGCAGCAGUGAGGAAUAUUGGUCAAUGGGCGAGAGCCUGAACCAGCCAA
Molecule: ribosomal RNA, 374 nt
Filed under: uncultured Bacteroidales bacterium
Lineage: Bacteria; Pseudomonadati; Bacteroidota; Bacteroidia; Bacteroidales
Description: bacterial SSU rRNA
Rfam family: Bacterial small subunit ribosomal RNA
Source: RNAcentral